This 553-nucleotide ribosomal RNA is filed under the name uncultured bacterium. Its description in RNAcentral is "partial 16S ribosomal RNA". It matches the Rfam family "Bacterial small subunit ribosomal RNA", at positions 356 to 900 of the family's 1533-position model. The record is from RNAcentral.
AGGGAAUCUUCCACAAUGGACGAAAGUCUGAUGGAGCAACGCCGCGUGAGUGAAGAAGGUUUUCGGAUCGUAAAGCUCUGUUGUUGGUGAAGAAGGAUAGAGGCAGUAACUGGUCUUUAUUUGACGGUAAUCAACCAGAAAGUCACGGCUAACUACGUGCCAGCAGCCGCGGUAAUACGUAGGUGGCAAGCGUUGUCCGGAUUUAUUGGGCGUAAAGCGAGCGCAGGCGGAAUGAUAAGUCUGAUGUGAAAGCCCACGGCUCAACCGUGGAACUGCAUCGGAAACUGUCAUUCUUGAGUGCAGAAGAGGAGAGUGGAACUCCAUGUGUAGCGGUGGAAUGCGUAGAUAUAUGGAAGAACACCAGUGGCGAAGGCGGCUCUCUGGUCUGCAACUGACGCUGAGGCUCGAAAGCAUGGGUAGCGAGCAGGAUUAGAUACCCUGGUAGUCCAUGCCGUAAACGAUGAGCGCUAGGUGUUGGGGACUUUCCGGUCCUCAGUGCCGCAGCAAACGCAUUAAGCGCUCCGCCUGGGGAGUACGACCGCAAGGUUGAAAC